UCUAAUAUGGCAGAAUAAUG
Molecule: transfer RNA, 20 nt
Filed under: Zabrus rotundatus
Lineage: Eukaryota; Metazoa; Arthropoda; Insecta; Coleoptera; Carabidae
Description: partial tRNA-Leu
Source: RNAcentral